This 497-nucleotide ribosomal RNA is filed under the name uncultured bacterium. Its description in RNAcentral is "partial 16S ribosomal RNA". It matches the Rfam family "Bacterial small subunit ribosomal RNA", at positions 28 to 507 of the family's 1533-position model. The record is from RNAcentral.
GAUGAACGCUGGCGGCGUGCCUAACACAUGCAAGUCGAACGAAGAGACGUGGAGCUUUCCUUCUUUCUGUUUUAGGCGCACGCGUGUGAGACACGUGUAUACCACCUCUAUUUCAGUGGGGUACCAUCGGUGGACAGGAGCUCUUACCGGAUAAUCUAUUUAACCUCGUGAUUCAGGAGUGAUGGACGGUGUUGCUGUCACUUAUACUUGGAUUGGCGCUGGAUUAGCUAGUUGGUAAGGUAACGGCUUACGAAGGCAACGAUGCAUAGCCGACCUGAGAGGGGGACCGGCCACACUGGAACUGAGACACGGCCCAGACUCCUACGGGAGGCAGCAGUGGGGAAUCUUCGGCAAUGGGCGAAAGCCUGACGGAGCAACGCCGCGUGAGUGAUGAAGGUCUUCGGAUCGUAAAACUCUGUUAUUAGGGAAGAACAAAUUUGUACGAAUAUGGGCACGGAUUGACGGUACCGGAACAGAAAGCCACGGCUAACUACGUG